RNAcentral lists this ribosomal RNA (600 nucleotides) under Mycobacterium sp. 12MD1 FL02. RNAcentral describes it as "bacterial SSU rRNA". It matches the Rfam family "Bacterial small subunit ribosomal RNA", at positions 48 to 675 of the family's 1533-position model. The record is from RNAcentral. Lineage: Bacteria; Bacillati; Actinomycetota; Actinomycetes; Mycobacteriales; Mycobacteriaceae.
GCUACACAUGCAAGUCGAACGGACCUUCGGGUUAGUGGCGAACGGGUGAGUAACACGUGGGUGAUCUGCCCUGCACUUUGGGAUAAGCCUGGGAAACUGGGUCUAAUACCGGAUAGGACUACGCACUGCAUGGUGUGUGGUGGAAAGCUUUUGCGGUGUGGGAUGGGCCCGCGGCCUAUCAGCUUGUUGGUGGGGUGAUGGCCUACCAAGGCGACGACGGGUAGCCGGCCUGAGAGGGUGACCGGCCACACUGGGACUGAGAUACGGCCCAGACUCCUACGGGAGGCAGCAGUGGGGAAUAUUGCACAAUGGGCGCAAGCCUGAUGCAGCGACGCCGCGUGAGGGAUGACGGCCUUCGGGUUGUAAACCUCUUUCGCCAGGGACGAAGCGCAAGUGACGGUACCUGGAGAAGAAGGACCGGCCAACUACGUGCCAGCAGCCGCGGUAAUACGUAGGGUCCGAGCGUUGUCCGGAAUUACUGGGCGUAAAGAGCUCGUAGGUGGUUUGUCGCGUUGUUCGUGAAAACUCACAGCUUAACUGUGGGCGUGCGGUCGAUACGGGCAGACUGUAGUACUGCGGGGGAGACUGGAAUUCCUGGUG